GUUACUUGCAUGACCCCAAUAGAGGUUUCAGUUAUUACAUGAAGUAUACGAUCCUGUUGAAGACAUUAACUCCUAAACUUGUUUCAUCAGUCAUUGAUUCCUACAAGAUGAUGCUGUCGGCAGUCAAUUCUCUUCCAGAGAAGACUGAGCGAGCUUUAUAUCAGAUGCUGAUAAGGUCCCAGUUUGAUCAACGUGAAGAUCCCCAAAUUCUCUCAAUACAAGUGCAAUAUCUUCUUGGCUAAUCUUCCCCAUCUCUUUUAGCUUAUAGAUGAUGAAUUCAGGGGCACUGUAGAAUCAGAAAAAAAAUAAAAAUAAAGAAAAGAAAAAAAGUUAAAUAAAAAUAAAGAAAAGAAAAAAAGUUAAAUAAAAAUAAAGCUAUAUACAACAUGUUUAUGGUGACACCUGAAAUCUGAGGCUGGCAAACCUAUUGAUAAGAAGAUUGUUCCAACAAUCAUUAGCAGCAAAAGAAGGCCCCCAGUCAGAAGAAGCUUGUAUCGCACUUUAUAAGUUUUGAUCUCCUGUUCAUGAAAACGUAAAGCUUUAAAAACCAGUAUCUGUUGUUUCUCUACAAGGUAGUCUGCUGCAUUACAUAGAACUAGCCCAACGAGAGCCAUUCCUGCAAGCACGAAGGCACAAGCAAGUACUAUAGUGGGGAACACUAUUGGGGGCAAAAUCUAAAGCAAAGAAUAUAUGAAAAAGGUAAUCCCAACAGAGCAAGAAAACAUAACUUAGUACUUUUACGAUGACUGCCUUUUCUUGGAUAAUACCUUUACGACAUCCUUAAUGGCCCCUUCCUUUUGAAAGUAAUGUUAAGACAAAGAAAGAAGACUGGUAAAACUAAAAAAAAGACAGACUAAGAGCUUGCAGUAUUGGAAGGUUUAAAUUUUAUUUUAAGCAUAGGAAAGUAAACUUAAAAACAGUUUGAGCAGAGUACAGAGGCUUUUUAAUCAUAAAACCCUUCAAUUUUGAACACUUGGUAGUUACAACUCACACAUACACGGCAUAUAGUGGUUUCUUGCAUGACCCCCAUUAGAGCUUUCUAUUUUUACAUGAAGUAUACGAUCCUUUUAUCCUAUUAACUUUUUAAAACUUGAUUCAUCAGUCAUUGAUCCGUACAAAGUGAUGCUGUCGGCAGUCAAUUCUCUUCUGGAGAAGACUGAGCGAGCUUUAUAUCAGAUUUUGAUAAGGUCCCAGUUUGAUCAACGUCAAGAUCCCUAAAUUCCCUCAAUACAAGUG
Molecule: long non-coding RNA, 1236 nt
Filed under: Aquilegia coerulea
Lineage: Eukaryota; Viridiplantae; Streptophyta; Magnoliopsida; Ranunculales; Ranunculaceae
Description: long non-coding RNA (ACOE_LNC002283)
Source: RNAcentral